CGUGAGUGAUGAAGGCUUUCGGGUCGUAAAACUCUGUUGUUAGGGAAGAACAAGUGCUAGUUGAAUAAGCUGGCACCUUGACGGUCCCUAACCAUAAAGCCCCGGCUAAUUACUUGCCACCACCCGCGGUAAUACUUAGGUGGCAAGCGUUAUCCGGAAUUAUGGGGCGUAAAGCGCGCGCAGGUGGUUUCUUAAAUCUGAUGUGAAACCCCACGGCUCACCCGUGGACGGUCAUUGGAAACUGGGAGACUUGAGUGCGUAAAAGGAAAGUGGAAUUCCAUGUGUAGCGGUGAAAUGCGUAAAGAUAUGGAGGAACACCAUUGGCGAAGGCAACUUUCUGGUCUGUAACUGACACUGAGGCGCAAAAGCGUGGGGAGCAAACAGGAUUAAAUACCCGGGUAUUCCACCCCUUAAACAAUUAGUGCGAAUUGUUAGAGGGUUUCCGCCCUUUAAUGCUGAAGUUAACGCAUUAUGCACUCCGCCUGGGGAGUACGGCCGCAAGGCUGAAACUCAGAGGAAUUGACGGGGGCCCGCACAAGCGGUGGAUCAGGUGGUUUAAUUCGAAGCAACGCGAACAACCUUACCCUGUCUUGAC
This 595-nucleotide ribosomal RNA is filed under the name Bacilli bacterium So2Pw_1330. RNAcentral describes it as "bacterial SSU rRNA". It matches the Rfam family "Bacterial small subunit ribosomal RNA", at positions 400 to 985 of the family's 1533-position model. The record is from RNAcentral. Lineage: Bacteria; Bacillati; Bacillota; Bacilli.